CCCUACGGGGGGCAGCAGUAGGGAAUUUUCGUUAAGGGCGCAAGCCUGAACGAGCAAUGCCGCGUGAACGAGGAAGGUCUUCGGAUCGUAAAGUUCUGUUGAAGGGGAAAAAGAGCGGAGAGAGGAAAUGCUUUCUGAUUGAUAUUACCCUUCGAGGAAGUCACGGCUAACUACGUGCCAGCAGCCGCGGUAAUACGUAGAUGGCGAGCGUUAUCCGGAAUGAUUGGGCGUAAAGGGUGCGUAGGCGGCCUGCUAAGUCUGGAGUGAAAGGUACCGGCUCAACCGGUACAGGCUCUGGAAACUGG
RNAcentral lists this ribosomal RNA (305 nucleotides) under uncultured bacterium. RNAcentral's name for it is "bacterial SSU rRNA". It matches the Rfam family "Bacterial small subunit ribosomal RNA", at positions 337 to 636 of the family's 1533-position model. The record is from RNAcentral.